UAUAUCUUUUUUUCAUUACAGUGACAGGUUACUUACAAAACCUGGUGUAUUUGUUGUUCAGCGGGAACCCUCCUAGCAUAUCAGGAGCCCAAGGCAGAGGCAGUACGUGACCAGGCACCAGUCACGCUUUAGAUGGAGAACAGGAGAGACGGUUUGUCAUGGAGUCAGUCCCCUGACUAAAAGACAGGUUGAAACAGAUGUCUGAACUGGGAGAGACCUUGCACUCAGCAUUACAAUGAUACUAGUACAUUUCA
This is a long non-coding RNA of Coregonus clupeaformis (lake whitefish), 254 nucleotides long. RefSeq lists it as uncharacterized. The record is from RefSeq and is a predicted model, not a curated record. NCBI's taxonomy places the organism in Eukaryota, Metazoa, Chordata, Actinopteri, Salmoniformes, Salmonidae. The transcript is spliced from 2 exons.